Molecule: unclassified non-coding RNA, 383 nt
Filed under: uncultured bacterium
Lineage: Bacteria
Description: contains 16S-23S intergenic spacer region
Source: RNAcentral
UCCGAGUUGACCCCGGCAGUCUCCUGCGAGUCCCCGCCAUUACGCGCUGGCAACACAGGACAAGGGUUGCGCUCGUUGCGGGACUUAACCCAACAUCUCACGGCACGAGCUGACGACAGCCAUGCAGCACCUGUCUCCGGUCCAGCCGAACUGAAGGGGUGAGUCUCCUCUCCCCGCGACCAGGAUGUCAAAGGCUGGUAAGGUUCUGCGCGUUGCUUCGAAUUAAUCCACAUGCUCCGCCGCUUGUGCGGGCCCCCGUCAAUUCCUUUGAGUUUCAGCCUUGCGGCCGUACUCCCCAGGCGGGGCACUUAAUGCGCUAGCGCCGGCACCCAGGGGGUCGCUCCCCCAGGCACCUAGUGCCCAUCGUUUACGGCGUGGACUAC